Molecule: long non-coding RNA, 3397 nt
Organism: Poecilia latipinna (sailfin molly)
Lineage: Eukaryota; Metazoa; Chordata; Actinopteri; Cyprinodontiformes; Poeciliidae
Exons: 2
Source: RefSeq, a predicted model, not a curated record
AUAAAAAAUCAAGCUUCUCUGCCUUCUCCCAGUGCCAACUAGAAACAACCAGUCAGAGCCAGGAGGUGGGUCUUAGCGUUGUCAAUCAUCCUGUGUGGUGCAGCUAAUCCCUCCUUCAUGUAUCUAGUUAGCAUAGCCGCAGAUGACGGUGGAUAAAUGUUUUCCUGUAGCAGUAAGUUGUUUCUCAGCCAUUAGCACACUUAGCAAGUACACAAAUAUGAUUGACAGCGCCAAGCCCCUCCUCCUGGCUCUGAUUGGCUGGUCUUGGUCAGAGGUGGUGCAUCUCUUCAGAAAGCAGUGUUAGCUCAGGUGGAGGAGAUACAUUUUUUCACAGAUUUUCUGUCUUGUAGCAAACCGUCACAACAUGGUGGAAGUUUCAACAAAUGUUUAUAAAACAUUUUUCAUAGAAGUUGUACACUGCAGCUUUAAAUGUAUAAAGUGAGGGUUAUUUUUGUGAUGGAUUAGAACUACACUGUGCACAUACAUUAAACAUUCCAACACAAAGACUUUUAAAAACCUCCCUACAGGUAUAUAAAACUGAGUAGAAAAACAUAACAAAGCAGGUUGGAUCCACGUAAGAACUGACUGGGUGAAACAUUUCAUUUUAAAUACCACAGUUUCCUCUGGUUUAAUUAACAUUGACAUCAAGGCAAAAGGAUGCUCUUUACCAAACACAGUUUACAUGAAACCACUCCUAAUUUUGCAGAAUAAACCCUUCCACUGACCCACAGAUGAACCGCUCUCUUCAACGCUGAAACAGUCGGCUCAUCAUCCUCCGAAUUUAAAGGCUGGUGGGAGGAAAAACUUGCUCUCAGACAGAAAUUGCACACUAUUAUCAAAUUGCACCUCCAACACAGAAAUUGCACUCAUUACUGAAAGCCUGCACAACGUGGCAGCUUCCAUUGUCCAAGAGCCAACCCCAUCCUCCACUCUCCCAAAUUCACUUGGCACUGAGCAGGCCGCUCCUGCUGGGCUGAAAUGGCACCGAGUGAUAAGAAAAUCUAACCUAAACUGGUUUUCCACUCAGAGACCAGAGAAGGCCAGGCAUUAAAAGAAAUCUGCUUUUUAAAGGGAAGGCAGAGACUCGAAUGGUGAUUUGAUAAUCGACAUGUUUGCCUGAGUUCACACUGGGCUUCAGUUUGGUUCAAGUUGAGGGGAAAAGUGGCCCCAAUUAUGCUUUAAUGAACAGCUGCGCUAUAUUCAGGUUACUUUAUUUGUAGAGUUUUGUAGAAUUCACUGUUAUGAGGAAUGUACUUGUUCAGCUAUGUUGGUAAAAGUAGUUUAAAUGAGAGUUUUUCCUCAUGCAAUGGGUGUUGGAGAUACAAAUGAAAUUCCUGCUAAAAUAUGUUUCAUAAUUGUCCUGUAAUUGGUGGUUUUGGCGCCCCCUACUGGUUGCCUAUAAAUUCUAUGAGAAACCGAGAACUCCUCGCAGUCGGUUCAGCGCUCUGCUGUGAUCGUUAAGUUGACCAGUGGGGAGGCUAACUGCGCCAUUUGUGUUUGUCAACCACCAAUUGCAGUAAAUCGCCUAAAAUCCAACCGACUGGCCUCCGCUGUGUGCAUGGCGGGACGGGUAAGAGGAGCCGUCACACUCACUGAAACAUUUUAGAUUUUAAUUUGUAUCACUAAACAUUCAAUGGAAAAUGUGGGUUUGAUUUUAAACUGGACUGGGAAUUAAUCUGAAUUAACUGGACUACAAUGAGCUGGAUUCAGACUUAAUCUGACUAAAUGAAACGCUAGUCACUAUUCUGAUAUGUAACGACAGUCCCUGACAAAAUGCAAUGUCUCAGUCAUUGACUGUCUUCUAUGACUUUGUAUUUUUAUGAUGUAAAGUACUCUGACCUGCCUGGUGGCUGAAAUGUGCUGUGUAACAGGGUUUUAUUCAACUAUAUUAUGGAUGUGAAGUUUGUCAAAAUGUUGGUUUAUUUUAAUUUAUUUUGUUUAGUCAAGUUGUUUCUUCAGACAGACAUUUAUUGGUGUUAAGUUCUGCUACACUGCUCUUGGCAGUUGGUGGUUACCAUAGCGACGAGUACCUGGGUAGCUCCUCCCCUUUUUCUGUUGCCGUUGGUAACUGUGGUUUGUAUUAGAAUCAGUUCUGUUUUCUUUACAAGUAUUAUAUUUUAUUUAAACAAUUUAAUAACAUACAGAAUUUCAUGAGUAAUUUUGAUAUGUUUUUAACUGUUAUUAUUUAUGUUGUCCAUUUUAGCUGUAUUUGAUUUCACAAAUGUUAGCUGCUGCUAACUGGGAGCCAUUGCUCUGUAGUUUAGGGUUUUUACAUUGUGUUUAAUGUAUAUGGGCAGAAGCCGCUGAACUGAUGCUAAACGCCAACUUGAUUUUCUCUCAGAAUAAAUAGAGAACCUGAAUGUGUCUGUUAUGAAGUCAACAAACUGAACCUGAGACAAACAUAAAAGGGUCACAUUAUACCAAUAAAACUGAUUGAUUUCACUGAAGAUGACUCUGCAGUGAUUUCAGUUUUUAAUUUGGCAAGCACACCAAAGUUAAAAUUUCUGGGUCAAAAGUCAAAAUCUGUUAUAAAAUCCUGGAUGUUUAAGUUUUCAUGACCUUAAAGCAGCUUUUGAAUCAGUUUUCAGGAUUCAAUCUUUGAGUCAGCAUAAAAACAUUCAGUCAUCACAGUCGAAUUUUAUCAACAUUUCCUUAUUAAAAACUGAAUGUUAUGUUCAUGUAAAUUAAUUUGAAUCCAUGUGGAUGAGAAUAUAAGUGAUUAUAGACUUAACCCAGAAAACUGGACUUAACAUGAGUUUUAGAUAUGCAAACUCAUUGCAACUUAAAUAUUGAACAUUAGUUUGCAUUUAUAAGAAACUAUCUAAAUUACACCAAUCCUUCUGGGUUUCUAAUGUCAGUGACUACACUCACAGAUGAGGAAAACGUUACAUAUGGAAAUAUUAUUUAACCUCUGCUGUUCUCUCUAAACAGAUUAAAGUAGCUGAUAAUAAUUAUAGUCAGACCCUAAAGAUCUUAGGGAAUGAUGGGACAUUAUAAUUUACAGAUUAAGCCAUGUGAGAGCCACAGCUUCUGCCUUGUUUAUAAUUCAACACAACGAACCUUAACUUGUGAUAUUUUGUAUUGAAAGCACUUGAAUAGAAAAAAAUAGCUAAUUGUUUGAACAUUUUAUAAGCUAAACUAUUUCUAAUCAUAAAUUGUUGAACUCUUAAAUAAAGCCCAGUGUGAACCUGCUUGUUGUCAGGAUUACCUGAAAAAUGCCCGUAUUUAAUGUCACAUCCAGAGUUUUUUUUAAUCAAACACUGGAUCCGAUUUAGCACUUAGCAGUGUGUCGAACAGCGUGUGUUCGGCGGUACUGGUCCUGAGUCGGCGGCUGUGUGAGCAGAUUUUACCAUCCUGAUUAUUCCAGAGAACUCUGCGGGUCACCGACCCGGCAGUU